GACAGUGUCUGAUGGGUAGUUUAACUGGGGCGGUUGCCUCCUAAAGAGUAACGGAGGCGCCCAAAGGUUCCCUCAGCCUGGUUGGCAAUCAGGUGUUGAGUGUAAGUGCACAAGGGAGCUUGACUGUGAGACCGACGGGUCGAGCAGGGACGAAAGUCGGGACUAGUGAUCCGGCGGUGGCUUGUGGAAGCGCCGUCGCUCAACGGAUAAAAGGUACCCCGGGGAUAACAGGCUGAUCUUCCCCAAGAGUCCAUAUCGACGGGAUGGUUUGGCACCUCGAUGUCGGCUCGUCGCAUCCUGGGGCUGGAGUCGGUCCCAAGGGUUGGGCUGUUCGCCCAUUAAAGCGGUACGCGAGCUGGGUUUAGAACGUCGUGAGACAGUUCGGUCCCUAUCCGCUGUGCGCGUAGGAGUCUUGAGAAGGGCUGUCCCUAGUACGAGAGGACCGGGACGGACGAACCUCUGGUGUGCCAGUUGUUCUGCCAAGGGCAUGGCUGGUUGGCUACGUUCGGGAGGGAUAACCGCUGAAAGCAUCUAAGCGGGAAGCCUGCUUCGAGAUGAGGACUCCCACCCACUUGAUGGGGUAAGGCUCCCAGUAGACGACUGGGUUGAUAGGCCGGAUCUGGAAGCACGGUAACGUGUGGAGGUGACCGGUACUAAUAGGCCGAGGGCUUGUCCUCAGUUG
This 682-nucleotide ribosomal RNA is filed under the name Streptomyces sp. SID9944. Its description in RNAcentral is "partial 23S ribosomal RNA". It matches the Rfam family "Bacterial large subunit ribosomal RNA", at positions 2250 to 2925 of the family's 2925-position model. Lineage: Bacteria; Bacillati; Actinomycetota; Actinomycetes; Kitasatosporales; Streptomycetaceae. The record is from RNAcentral.